AUUAGAGUUUGAUCCUGGUCAGAACGAACGCUGGCGGCGUGCCUAACACAUGCAAGUCGAACGCGAAAGAGGGCUUCGGUUCUCGAGUAGAGUGGCGCACGGGUGAGUAACGCGUAGGUAAUCUACCCUUAUGAUUGGGAUAACUGACCGAAAGGUCAGCUAAUACCGGAUAUACUUUAGGUUACGCGAGUGAUUUAGAGGAAAGGUGACCUCUGUUUACAAGUUGCCGUAUAGGGAUGAGCCUGCGUACCAUUAGCUAGUUGGUGUGGUAAUAGCGCACCAAGGCGACGAUGGUUAGCGGGUCUGAGAGGAUGAUCCCCCACACUGGUACUGAGACACGGACCAGACUCCUACGGGAGGCAGCAGUAAGGAAUAUUGGGCAAUGGACGCAAGUCUGACCCAGCCAUGCCGCGUGAAGGAUGAAUGUCCUAUGGAUUGUAAACUUCUUUUAUGCAGGAAAAACAUCCCGGUCGUGAACCGGGACUGAUGGUACUGUAUGAAUAAGCAUCGGCUAACUCCGUGCCAGCAGCCGCGGUAAUACGGAGGAUGCAAGCGUUAUCCGGAUUCAUUGGGUUUAAAGGGUGCGCAGGCGGAAUGAUAAGUCAGUGGUGAAAUCUCCCGGCUCAACCGGGAAACUGCCAUUGAUACUGUCGUUCUUGAGUACAGUUGAAGUGGGCGGAAUGUGUCAUGUAGCGGUGAAAUGCUUAGAUAUGACACAGAACACCGAUAGCGAAGGCAGCUCACUAAGCUGUAACUGACGCUCAUGCACGAAAGCGUGGGGAUCAAACAGGAUUAGAUACCCUGGUAGUCCACGCUGUAAACGAUGAUCACUCGUUGUUGGCGAUAUACUGUCAGCGACUGAGCGAAAGCAUUAAGUGAUCCACCUGGGGAGUACGGCGGCAACGUUGAAACUCAAAGGAAUUGACGGGGGCCCGCACAAGCGGAGGAGCAUGUGGUUUAAUUCGAUGAUACGCGAGGAACCUUACCUGGGCUUAAAUGUAGGACGACGUAUGCCGAAAGGCGUAUUUCCUUCGGGACGUCUUACAAGGUGCUGCAUGGUUGUCGUCAGCUCGUGCCGUGAGGUGUCGGGUUAAGUCCCAUAACGAGCGCAACCCUUAUCAUUAGUUGCCAUCAGGUAAUGCUGGGAACUCUAAUGAAACUGCCUACGCAAGUAGUGAGGAAGGUGGGGAUGACGUCAAAUCAGCACGGCCCUUAUGUCCAGGGCGACACACGUGCUACAAUGGCCAGUACAGAGGGUUGCUACCUGGUGACAGGAUGCUAAUCUCGAAAGCUGGUCUCAGUUCGGAUUGAAGUCUGCAACUCGACUUCAUGAAGUUGGAUUCGCUAGUAAUCGCGCAUCAGCCAUGGCGCGGUGAAUACGUUCCCGGGCCUUGUACACACCGCCCGUCAAGCCAUGGGAGUUGGGGGUACCUAAAGUCCGUAACCGCAAGGGGCGGCCUAGGGUAAAACCAAUGACUGGGGUGAAGUCGUAACAAGGUAGCCGUAAAU
This 1509-nucleotide ribosomal RNA is filed under the name uncultured prokaryote. Its description in RNAcentral is "bacterial SSU rRNA". It matches the Rfam family "Bacterial small subunit ribosomal RNA". The record is from RNAcentral.